This 477-nucleotide ribosomal RNA is filed under the name Flavobacterium sp. WB2.1-19. RNAcentral describes it as "bacterial SSU rRNA". It matches the Rfam family "Bacterial small subunit ribosomal RNA", at positions 18 to 496 of the family's 1533-position model. Lineage: Bacteria; Pseudomonadati; Bacteroidota; Flavobacteriia; Flavobacteriales; Flavobacteriaceae. The record is from RNAcentral.
CCUGGCUCAGGAUGUACGCUAGCGGCAGGCUUAACACAUGCAAGUCGAGGGGUAUAUUUCUUCGGAGAUAGAGACCGGCGCACGGGUGCGUAACGCGUAUGCAAUCUACCUUUUACAGAGGGAUAGCCCAGAGAAAUUUGGAUUAAUACCUCAUAGUAUAGUACAAUCGCAUGAUUGAACUAUUAAAGUCACAACGGUGAAAGAUGAGCAUGCGUCCCAUUAGCUAGUUGGUAAGGUAACGGCUUACCAAGGCUACGAUGGGUAGGGGUCCUGAGAGGGAGAUCCCCCACACUGGUACUGAGACACGGACCAGACUCCUACGGGAGGCAGCAGUGAGGAAUAUUGGACAAUGGGCGCAAGCCUGAUCCAGCCAUGCCGCGUGCAGGAUGACGGUCCUAUGGAUUGUAAACUGCUUUUGCACAGGAAGAAACAUCCCGACGUGUCGGGACUUGACGGUACUGUGAGAAUAAGGAUCGG